Molecule: ribosomal RNA, 376 nt
Filed under: uncultured bacterium
Lineage: Bacteria
Description: bacterial SSU rRNA
Rfam family: Bacterial small subunit ribosomal RNA
Source: RNAcentral
UAAUACGGAGGGUGCAAGCGUUACUCGGAAUCACUGGGCGUAAAGCGCGCGCAGGCGGCCUAUUAAGUUGGAUGUGAAAGCCUACGGCUCAACCGUAGAACUGCAUCCAAAACUAUUAGGCUAGAGUCUGGGAGGGGAAGAUGGAAUUAGUUGUGUAGGGGUAAAAUCCGUAGAGAUAACUAGGAAUACCAAAAGCGAAGGCGAUCUUCUGGAACAGUACUGACGCUGAGGCGCGAAAGCGUGGGGAGCAAACAGGAUUAGAUACCCUGGUAGUCCACGCCCUAAACGAUGAAUGUUAGUCGUCGGGUAGCUAGUCUAUUCGGUGAUGCAGCUAACGCAUUAAACAUUCCGCCUGGGGAGUACGGUCGCAAGAUUA